RNAcentral lists this ribosomal RNA (404 nucleotides) under uncultured bacterium. Its description in RNAcentral is "bacterial SSU rRNA". It matches the Rfam family "Bacterial small subunit ribosomal RNA", at positions 355 to 775 of the family's 1533-position model. The record is from RNAcentral.
UGGGGAAUAUUGGGCAAUGGGGGUAACCCUGACCCAGCGGCGCCGCGUGGGGGAAGACGGCCUUCGGGUUGUAAACCUCUUUUGUACGGGAAGAAGGAAGUGACGGUACUGUACGAAUAAGUCCGGGCUAACUACGUGCCAGCAGCCGCGGUAAUACGUAGGGGACGAGCGUUGUCCGGAAUUACUGGGCGUAAAGGGCGCGCAGGCUGUGCUGCAAGUCAGCUGUUAAAUGUCUGGGCUUAACCCGGGCAUGCGGUUGAGACUGCGGUGCUGGAGUGCUGUAGAGGCAAGUGGAAUUCCCAGUGUAGCGGUGAAAUGCGUAGAUAUUGGGAAGAACACCGGUGGCGAAGGCGACUUGCUGGGCAGCAACUGACGCUGGGCGCGAAAGCCAGGGGAGCAAACGG